Molecule: ribosomal RNA, 253 nt
Filed under: uncultured archaeon
Lineage: Archaea
Description: partial 16S ribosomal RNA
Rfam family: Archaeal small subunit ribosomal RNA
Source: RNAcentral
AACCAGCACCUCAAGUGGUCAGGAGGAUUAUUGGGCCUAAAGCAUCCGUAGCCUGCUCUGUAAGUUUUCGGUUAAAUCCAUGUGCUCAACGCAUGGGCUGCCGAAAAUACUGCAUAGCUAGGGAGUGGGAGAGGUAGACGGUACUCGGUAGGAAGGGGUAAAAUCCUUUGAUCUAUCGAUGACCACCAGUGGCGAAGGCGACUCUCUGGGCCAAUACUGACGCUGAGGUUCGAAAGCGUGGGGAGCGAACGGG